Molecule: ribosomal RNA, 258 nt
Filed under: uncultured bacterium
Lineage: Bacteria
Description: partial 16S ribosomal RNA
Rfam family: Bacterial small subunit ribosomal RNA
Source: RNAcentral
GUCCACGCCCUAAACGAUGAACACUCGCUGUUGGCGAUACACAGUCAGCGGCUAAGCGAAAGCGUUAAGUGUUCCACCUGGGGAGUACGCCCGCAAGGGUGAAACUCAAAGGAAUUGACGGGGGCCCGCACAAGCGGAGGAGCAUGUGGUUUAAUUCGAUGAUACGCGAGGAACCUUACCCGGGCUUGAAAGUUAGUGAAGCAUCCAGAGAUGGAUGCGUCCGCAAGGACACGAAACUAGGUGCUGCAUGGCUGUCGU